UACGUAGGGGGCAAGCGUUGUCCGGAUUUAUUGGGCGUAAAGAGCGUGUAGGCGGCCCGACAGGUCCGUUGUGAAAACUCGAGGCUCAACCUCGAGAUGUCGAUGGAAACCGUCUGGCUAGAGUCCGGAAGAGGAGUGUGGAAUUCCUGGUGUAGCGGUGAAAUGCGCAGAUAUCAGGAAGAACACCGACGGCGAAGGCAGCUCGCUGGGACGGUACUGACGCUGAGGCGCGAAAGCGUGGGGAGCGAACAGG
This 253-nucleotide ribosomal RNA is filed under the name uncultured bacterium. RNAcentral describes it as "partial 16S ribosomal RNA". It matches the Rfam family "Bacterial small subunit ribosomal RNA", at positions 524 to 776 of the family's 1533-position model. The record is from RNAcentral.